RNAcentral lists this ribosomal RNA (437 nucleotides) under uncultured Weissella sp. Its description in RNAcentral is "bacterial SSU rRNA". It matches the Rfam family "Bacterial small subunit ribosomal RNA", at positions 955 to 1393 of the family's 1533-position model. Lineage: Bacteria; Bacillati; Bacillota; Bacilli; Lactobacillales; Lactobacillaceae. The record is from RNAcentral.
UUUAACGCGAAGAACCUUACCAGGUCUUGACAUCCCUUGCUAAUCCUAGAAAUAGGACGUUCCCUUCGGGGACAAGGUGACAGGUGGUGCAUGGUUGUCGUCAGCUCGUGUCGUGAGAUGUUGGGUUAAGUCCCGCAACGAGCGCAACCCUUAUUAUUAGUUGCCAGCAUUUAGUUGGGCACUCUAGUGAGACUGCCGGUGACAAACCGGAGGAAGGUGGGGAUGACGUCAAAUCAUCAUGCCCCUUAUGACCUGGGCUACACACGUGCUACAAUGGCAUAUACAACGAGUCGCCAACCCGCGAGGGUGCGCUAAUCUCUUAAAGUAUGUCUCAGUUCGGAUUGUAGGCUGCAACUCGCCUACAUGAAGUCGGAAUCGCUAGUAAUCGCGGAUCAGCACGCCGCGGUGAAUACGUUCCCGGGUCUUGUACACACCGA